This is a non-coding RNA of Acanthosepion pharaonis, 100 nucleotides long. Lineage: Eukaryota; Metazoa; Mollusca; Cephalopoda; Sepiida; Sepiidae. The record is from the annotation of a GenBank genome assembly.
CAUUGAAAUAUCGGUUCUCAAACGAUCACCAAAGUUAAGCAAUGUCAAGCUUGGCCUGUACCAAGAUAGGUGACUGCUUGGGAAUACCAAGUGCUGUAAG